This 998-nucleotide long non-coding RNA is filed under the name Vulpes vulpes (red fox). RNAcentral's name for it is "lncRNA (ENSVVUG00000029478.1)". The record is from RNAcentral. Lineage: Eukaryota; Metazoa; Chordata; Mammalia; Carnivora; Canidae.
GGGGGGGGGGGAGGAGAAGAGAAGCAGCUUUUCGCUCUAUUCAGCCUGGACGCGGGAGCGCGGACGAUUUCCGCUCCCAUUGUGAGGCGGGGCCCGGGGGCGGCCGUGAAUGGGGGGUCUGCCGAGCGGCCCGCGGGGCUGUCAGGCGGCUCAGCGUAAUCAGGGCUAAUGACGGUGGCCGGGCGCUCCGCGGGACAAUGCGCGGGGCCGCGGGGUUUUGUCGGCCUGAAUGGCUAAUAGGUUCGCCUGGGGGUGCGAGGGGGGCGGUGUCGGGGAAGAGGCGGCGGCGAGGGGAAAAGGGGUCAUUGUUCGCGCACCGGCCCGGGCGCCGAGGCGCGUCCCUCUCCCCGCGCGGCGGCCCCCGGGCCGGGAGCGGCCGACUGGAAGGCCGCGGCCGGGAGGCCCCCUGGAGGCCUGCUGCGACAGGGCGGCGGGAACGGCGGGUGCGUGGGUUCCGCGUACGGGAGGCAGCCCCGACACAACUCUGUUCCCCGGAGACGCCCAGAGGCUUUUAACUCUGCCUGGGGCUGCUUGUCAUCUAUUUGAAGCUCUCCAAAGGGACCUUAGCCCAUUCUGCAAUUCCGGAUAACCCGAAAUUUUGAGGCACCACCUCUCCCCCAUUCUGUGUGGAUCUGGUGGAGCUACUAAUCAGUAUCAUACUUCCAUUCCCCAUCACCUCCACCAAGGGGCAGAACUGCAAGCCAUGCCAAGCUGACCACAGGACUGUAGUCCUCUGAAGAUAGUGACUGGCCUGAGUGGCCAGUUUGACAAGUAAUCCAACACAGAGAGAUCAAUAUUCAUGAAAUUUUCCAAAUUGAAAGCCGAUAGUUUUCUCUCUCCUGUUGAAGAUGAACAUAUAGAACAAGGACACCAGUAACGACAUCUGCAUUGCCAGAGGCCAUAUUUCCGUCAUAAGGAGAAAUGCCCUAUAAAAUAGAAAAGAACAAAACUAAGCCGAAAGGAGAGACCAAUAAAAAAGGAGAAUCCUAAAACUAUCA